CAAGGUAAGCUAGAUGAUCGCGGGUGGCCAAUGGCCGCUUGAGGAAAGUCCGGGCUCCAUAGGACAUGACGCCGGGUAACACCCGGGAGCGGUAACGCUAUAGAGAGCGCCACAGAAAAAAUACCGCCGGUUUUCCGGUAAGGGUGAAAUGGUGGGGUAAGAGCCCACCGCACCACUGGUAACAGGGGUGGCAGGGUAAGCCUCGUCAGGAGCAAAACCAAGCAGCAGGUGGGUGGUCCGCCCUGAUCCUGCGGGUCGGUUGCUAAAGAUUCUUGGCAACAAGGAUCUUGGAUAGAUGAUCAUCACAAACAGAACCCGGCUUAUUGCUUGCCUUGUUUU
This 339-nucleotide RNase P RNA is filed under the name Spirochaetaceae bacterium. Its description in RNAcentral is "RNase P RNA component class A". It matches the Rfam family "Bacterial RNase P class A". From Rfam's summary of the family: Ribonuclease P (RNase P) is a ubiquitous endoribonuclease, found in archaea, bacteria and eukarya as well as chloroplasts and mitochondria. Its best characterised activity is the generation of mature 5'-ends of tRNAs by cleaving the 5'-leader elements of precursor-tRNAs. RNAcentral also lists the same sequence under 1 other name. Lineage: Bacteria; Pseudomonadati; Spirochaetota; Spirochaetia; Spirochaetales; Spirochaetaceae. The record is from RNAcentral.